Molecule: long non-coding RNA, 106 nt
Organism: Sander lucioperca (pikeperch)
Lineage: Eukaryota; Metazoa; Chordata; Actinopteri; Perciformes; Percidae
Exons: 3
Source: RefSeq, a predicted model, not a curated record
CAUACAGAGACUUUUCUUUAACCCUCCUGGUGUCCUCGGGUCUAAUCUGACCCAUUUUCAAAAAGUUUCUAUAUCAGAAAUUUGGGUUUCUUUCAACCAAAUUUUC